Molecule: ribosomal RNA, 253 nt
Filed under: uncultured bacterium
Lineage: Bacteria
Description: partial 16S ribosomal RNA
Rfam family: Bacterial small subunit ribosomal RNA
Source: RNAcentral
UACGAAGGGGGCUAGCGUUGUUCGGAAUUACUGGGCGUAAAGGGCGCGUAGGCGGCCUGACAAGUCAGAGGUGAAAGUCCUGGGCUCAACCUGGGGACUGCCUUUGAAACUGUCGGGCUUGAGACCGGGAGAGGUGAGUGGAAUUCCCAGUGUAGAGGUGAAAUUCGUAGAUAUUGGGAAGAACACCAGUGGCGAAGGCGGCUCACUGGACCGGUUCUGACGCUGAGGCGCGAAAGCGUGGGGAGCAAACAGG